Molecule: ribosomal RNA, 254 nt
Filed under: uncultured bacterium
Lineage: Bacteria
Description: partial 16S ribosomal RNA
Rfam family: Bacterial small subunit ribosomal RNA
Source: RNAcentral
UACGGGGGGGGCAAGCGUUGUUCGGAAUUACUGGGCGUAAAGGGCUCGUAGGCGGCCAACUAAGUCAGACGUGAAAUCCCUCGGCUUAACCGGGGAACUGCGUCUGAUACUGGAUGGCUUGAGUUUGGGAGAGGGAUGCGGAAUUCCAGGUGUAGCGGUGAAAUGCGUAGAUAUCUGGAGGAACACCGGCGGCGAAGGCGGCAUCCUGGACCAACACUGACGCUGAGUGAGCGAAAGCCAGGGGAGCAAACGGG